GAUGAAGAACGCAGCGAAAUGAGAUAAGUAAUGUGAAUUGCAGAAUUCAGUGAAUCAUCGAAUCUUUGAACGCACAUUGCGCCCGCCAGUAUUCUGGCGGGCAUGCCUGUCUGAGCGUCAUUUCAACCCUCAUGCCCCUAGGGCGUGGUGUUGGGGAUCGGCCAAAGCCCGCGAGGGACGGCCGGCCCCUAAAUCUAGUGGCGGACCCGUCGUGGCCUCCUCUGCGAAGUAGUGAUAUUCCGCAUCGGAGAGCGACGAGCCCCUGCCGUUAAACCCCCAACUUUCCAAGGUUGACCUCAGAUCAGGUAGGAAUACCCGCUGAACUUAAGCAUAUCAAUAAGCGGAGGA
RNAcentral lists this unclassified non-coding RNA (348 nucleotides) under soil metagenome. RNAcentral's name for it is "partial contains 5.8S ribosomal RNA, internal transcribed spacer 2, and large subunit ribosomal RNA". The stretch from base 1 to 120 matches the Rfam family "5.8S ribosomal RNA", at positions 35 to 154 of the family's 154-position model. The record is from RNAcentral.